AUGCCGGAGCGCCGGGCCAUGGGUGCCCAGGAGGUUCAGCUCCUCCUCGUCUUCCUCAUCUCAGUCGUCCUCCCGCUCCUCCUCCCACUCUUCCGACUUGCCGACGCUAUUCGGAAUCAAGGCCGAGCCCGCUGCAGAGACACUGCUCGGUCGGCGCACCUACAGCGCCGGCAUCGUCAUCAACGAGGGCGGCAGGCACGCCCCCUCCUCGGCUCCUCCACCGGGGCUCACCGUCGUGAAGCCGGAGCCCGGGCUCGCUGGUGGCGUCAAGGAGGAGGAGAUCAACGAUGCGGUGGCCCUCAAAUGGGCGUGCGAUGA
RNAcentral lists this ribosomal RNA (318 nucleotides) under Triticum aestivum (bread wheat). RNAcentral describes it as "partial small subunit ribosomal RNA". The record is from RNAcentral. Lineage: Eukaryota; Viridiplantae; Streptophyta; Magnoliopsida; Poales; Poaceae.